CCGGCUCCUGGAGGACGCCGGGCGUCUCCUGGGCCUUGCGAGCCUCGAUCGCCACCAGUUCCGCGCUGCAGGAACCGGUCC
Molecule: transfer RNA, 81 nt
Filed under: Kitasatospora phosalacinea
Lineage: Bacteria; Bacillati; Actinomycetota; Actinomycetes; Kitasatosporales; Streptomycetaceae
Description: tRNA-Ala
Source: RNAcentral